RNA transcript from Oryza brachyantha (malo sina), 1155 nucleotides. RefSeq lists it as uncharacterized. The transcript is spliced from 6 exons. Lineage: Eukaryota; Viridiplantae; Streptophyta; Magnoliopsida; Poales; Poaceae. The record is from RefSeq and is a predicted model, not a curated record.
GUGCCAUGCCACAGGUUUCCCUCCAGGCUCCCCCCUCCAUCGUGCCGCCUCCGACGACGCGCCCCCGCCUCCGCUGCUGCCCCGGACGACACGCCGCCAACCCAGACGACGUGCCCCCGCCUCCGCCGCCUCCCACGACCGACGCCGCCCUCCACCGCUCCACCCCGGACGACGCCCCCCUCCACCAACCUGGACGACGCCACCCUCCACCGCUCCCACGACCGACACCGUCCUCCACCGCACCACCCCGGACGAUGCGCCCCCGCCUCCGCCGUCUCCCACGAUCGACGCCGCCCUCCACGAUGUUGUAUUCACAAAUAUGAAUGCAUGUGUGCAUUUUUGGUGCGCUCUCUUCCUCAUCUCCCUCGACGGCGGCUGUGGGCGAAGGAGAAGGCAAAAUGGGUAAGGGUACGGAGAGCUUCGGCAAGCGCCGGAACAAGACGCGCACGCCGCAGCUUCCACCUGCAGAAGAGCACCUGCUCCUCCUGCGGCUACCCGGCUGCCCGCAUCCACAAGUUGUGGCUAGGUUGAUUAUCAUAGUUGCUUUAGACUUGGGAUCUGCUAGAGGAGGAGGCGUGAAUACUUUGCCAUGAAAGCUAUGGAUAAAAGCAUCAUGCUUAAUCGCAAUAAGGUCCACAGAGCUAUUGCUGAAAGCCAAAUCCUUGAUCUGCUGGAGCACCCAUUCCUUCCAACAUUAGAUGCAUCAUUUCAGGAUUGUGAAUGGCUGUUGUCAUUGAGCUACGGCUUGCUAUAUGUAUAUUUGUUGUCUGCUUUGCUCGACGACGCUCAAGAACACAGAGGAGACAUUAUAUUUUGAAACGUUAGGUGAUCUCGGAAAGUCGGAAGAAUUGAUACUAAUUUCUAGCCCUCUAAGCUUGGUGCGUCCUCGAGAAAUAGAUAGUGAAUUAAUAUUUUGGUGAUUGGCAAGUUUGGGUCUAAAUUUUAGUAUAAAUAUUGCAGUCAUGCAAAUAAUAUUUGUAGGAUAUGAUGUAAAUUGGUGGACUUGACAUGAGAAUGUUUUGUGAUCUAUCUUCAAUGGAAAGGAUGGUUGUUGUGAGACAGGUUCCAUUUCCAUUACUAAUUUGUUGUAUAGUGUAUUUGGCUCUUUCUGUAGAAGUGCUGAACUAUGAGUACACGGUUCUAAACCUAAUCUAA